This 995-nucleotide long non-coding RNA is filed under the name Struthio camelus australis. Its description in RNAcentral is "lncRNA (ENSSCUG00000006553.1)". Lineage: Eukaryota; Metazoa; Chordata; Aves; Struthioniformes; Struthionidae. The record is from RNAcentral.
CAUAGACUUAAUGCAACAGCAAAAUGCCUUGUUCCCUGCCUUUGCUGCAACCCAUUUGGCCUCAAGAAGCAAGGGACCUGGAAACAUAACUUUGAUGUCUAAUUGCAAUGGAACAGCACCUCAAAAAAUUGGAUAACCUAUCUGAGCAUCCUGUCCAAACCUUCAUCUUUUUGGCCUAUACUUCUGCCACAAGAUUUCUCAGAGAAAUAUCUAUAUUUAUACAUUAUCUUCUUCUGCCAAUUUAAAAUUCACUUUAAAUAAUAGUAGAAUUACAGAAGCAUUGACUAAGCCCCAUACUGUUGUACUGAAGAAUGUAACUUGUUUCAAAGAACCAAGAUGCCCUGGGAAAGUGAAGUCACCACACUUUUCCAGUUAAUGUAUUUCUGACAUGCCUCUUCUGAUUUACCCUCACACUACUAAUGCCAAUUCACUACGUUGGAGCUUGCAUGACAACCAACUUCUUCACCAUCACGUCAGGAAUUGAAAAAUCAUCAAAUGACCUCAAUAUGUUUAACAACAAGUUUUAGCAAUCUAGAAAAGCAAAUAAUGGAUCUCAGUCUCACAGUCUACAACAGUCUGGGAAAGCAUUCUACACAGGAAAAUGAGAACAGAGAAAAAGGACAUUUCUCAUUUAAAAGGCUAGUAGCUUUGAAAAGAGAAGAAUGGAGAAAGCAGAAGAAUGCAGUGCUGAAAGAGGAAAGUUUUUUUUUUUUUUAAUCUACAGGCAUUCUGCUAUAGCAAAAUAGAAAAUAUAAGACUUGUUUUAGAAGAAUCCUAGUUAUAUAUGCAUGAGAUAUAGUUUUAGGUUAAGGGUAAUUCUUAAAUACAAACUCCCCAAAAUACAGAUUAUUCCUCUUUUCUUUUAGUUUGCUACUAGUCUCCAGUAAUAUAUUCCUCCAAAUUCUCAGCUUAUGUGCCUUGCUUUUUCAUCUAGUAACAAGCUAUACGAUUCCCUGGAAUGCUACCUCCCUUUUGGAGAUCUAACAUCUCUAAUG